Passer domesticus (house sparrow) is the source of this 502-nucleotide long non-coding RNA. RefSeq lists it as uncharacterized. NCBI's taxonomy places the organism in Eukaryota, Metazoa, Chordata, Aves, Passeriformes, Passeridae. The record is from RefSeq and is a predicted model, not a curated record. The transcript has 3 exons.
UGCACAUGGACCAGGACUGCUUUUAGGGUUCUCUGUUUAAGGAAGCUCCACUCAGUUCUAAAAGCAGGAGUUUCUCAACUUCAGGACACCAGUCUCCCCCAGAUUUACCCCCGGGGGCUGAGGGGCCUGGUGAAUAGAGAUUUCUCUCUUCACUGAAGACAGAGGAAUCAUUCUCUUCCUUAAAAAACUGGAGGGGGAAAGAGUUUUCAGACAAAACAUAAGGUUUUAGCAAUCCAGAAAGGCUUUCUGUAAGCAAGACCCUUGCAAUGGGACUGUCAGCAUGGCUGCAGUAAGAACACUGCAUGGGCCAAAGGGGAAUUAUUUAUGGGAAGCAGUUCCUUCUGAAAAUUGAAAGGCUCAAAUUUACAGGGGUCUGGUAACAAAAAUAACAUGAUUAUCGAAGGUAAGAGAUAUAAGCUCCAAUUUGAUUAGUGCUGUAUGUUGUCUCUUUUGGACCUCUUGUGCCUCCUUGGAAAAGAAGCUUUAAUGUCUGAGUUGUAAA